CAGAAAGUAGUUUAAUUCAGAAUCCUAGCUUUGGGAGCCAGGGGUGGGAGUUAGAAUCUCCUCUUUCUGA
RNAcentral lists this transfer RNA (70 nucleotides) under Fistularia tabacaria (cornetfish). Its description in RNAcentral is "tRNA-Pro". It matches the Rfam family "tRNA". From Rfam's summary of the family: Transfer RNA (tRNA) molecules are approximately 80 nucleotides in length. Their secondary structure includes four short double-helical elements and three loops (D, anti-codon, and T loops). Further hydrogen bonds mediate the characteristic L-shaped molecular structure. tRNAs have two regions of fundamental functional importance: the anti-codon, which is responsible for specific mRNA codon recognition, and the 3' end, to which the tRNAs corresponding amino acid is attached (by aminoacyl-tRNA synthetases). tRNAs cope with the degeneracy of the genetic code in two manners: having more than one tRNA (with a specific anti-codon) for a particular amino acid; and 'wobble' base-pairing, i.e. permitting non-standard base-pairing at the 3rd anti-codon position. Lineage: Eukaryota; Metazoa; Chordata; Actinopteri; Syngnathiformes; Fistulariidae. The record is from RNAcentral.